This 456-nucleotide ribosomal RNA is filed under the name uncultured Thauera sp. RNAcentral describes it as "bacterial SSU rRNA". It matches the Rfam family "Bacterial small subunit ribosomal RNA", at positions 924 to 1382 of the family's 1533-position model. Lineage: Bacteria; Pseudomonadati; Pseudomonadota; Betaproteobacteria; Rhodocyclales; Zoogloeaceae. The record is from RNAcentral.
CACAAGCGGUGGAUGAUGUGGAUUAAUUCGAUGCAACGCGAAAACCUUACCUACCCUUGACAUGUCUGGAACCUUGGUGAGAGCCGAGGGUGCCUUCGGGAGCCAGAACACAGGUGCUGCAUGGCUGUCGUCAGCUCGUGUCGUGAGAUGUUGGGUUAAGUCCCGCAACGAGCGCAACCCUUGUCACUAGUUGCCAUCAUUUAGUUGGGCACUCUAGUGAGACUGCCGGUGACAAACCGGAGGAAGGUGGGGAUGACGUCAAGUCCUCAUGGCCCUUAUGGGUAGGGCUUCACACGUCAUACAAUGGUCGGUACAAAGGGUCGCCAACCCGCGAGGGGGAGCCAAUCCCAUAAAGCCAUUCGUAGUCCGGAUCGCAGUCUGCAACUCGACUGCGUGAAGUCGGAAUCGCUAGUAAUCGUGGAUCAGAAUGUCACGGUGAAUACGUUCCCGGGUCUU